CUCUCGCUCGCAGGAUUAGCGCAGUGGGAGGAGGCAGAGGUGAUCAGGUCCUGCCCGGCCUGGGACUUUUUGUCUUGAGGUGGGGAGGGGAGAAAUGGGAAGAGGUGGAGUAGCGGUUUUAGCCCGCUCUGCGGCUGCGAGGUUUAGAUCCGAGAUUAACCUCUCCCGCGAUAGGUGAAGCCCUACCGGAGCAGAAAGCUGUUCCACCUGCACCAAGAAUGCGCGCUGGAGACGGUUGCCCCGGAGGCCCUGGCCCGAGAGAAAACCAGUCCCCGCUGCCCGCGCCUCCCGGUAGCGCGCUCCCUGCGCCUCUCCCGCCGGACACUCAGCAGACGCCGGAGGCCGGGAGGCUAAGACUGGGCGCGUCGCAGGCCGGGACCGCGGCAGAGGCUGCUGUGCCGACCGAGGAGAGGGCUCUGCCGCCCCCACUUGCCCUGGGUGUCGAGAGCCCACUCCAGACGCGGCUCUUCUGAGGCUCAAUUCAAGCCACCCAGGCCUGAAUCCAGGGUGCUCUCUCUAAGUCGGUGUCCAACCCAGGGGCCUGUAAAUGUUGGAACCUAGGAUGUAGGAUGGGAGCGGUGAAGGGAUGGUCCUCUUGCCCAGCCCAGAUUAAGACUGGGGUUCAUCUGGAGGACUCUACUUACACCCUCCCGGUCCCCUCGCCCUCCCCCACACACAGCUGCCUCUCCCCAGGAUAUGCGCGGCACAGUGAAUUUAGUGGCUUUGAAAGGUAUAGUAUUUGUGGCAUCCUUAUAUGGAUAAUGCCCAAUGAUGCCUGCACCCUGUAACAGUUUAGGAAGGCCUGAAGUCGCACACUGGGUCCUGGCUGCUGUAACUGGAGACCCCCAGAAGAUCCCCUGCAAGCAGCCACCAGCCUGCUGUCAAGCCAAUAAUAAAAGCUCAGCACAAACAGAGAUGAAGAAACUCACAUUGAGAAGAGUUAAGAAACUUGCUCAAAUUCAUAAAAUCAAGAGGAGAGGUGGAUGUAAUUAAAACCAAGCCUUUGACAAAUCAAGGAAACUUUUCAUGUCGUCACUGCUACCUCAUCCGUGGCCACAAAAUCUCAGUCAAGAUCUAGGGUUGAUGCAAACUGGAGUCAUUCCCAGUAUCCACAACACUUCUCUUGUGUCUUCUGGGAAGCUAAGAUUUCAUCCCUUGAGUUUCAUUGCUGCCUGAAUCUAUUGCAUCUUACUUGAGAGCCUCAUUUAUUCCAUGCUACAAGAUCCAUGCAAGAUUCCAGGAUCACCAAGAUCACUCCAGGAAAUGAAGAGAUCAAGAGAGCUGCCAUGGACAAGUCUCUGCCUCUCUGCUUCAGCUUCUAGUUCCCUCAUAAUAUAGGACAAUUCCUUGUACAAAACGGGUGCUCCAUAAAUAUUUGUUGAAUGAACUUCUUUUCUAGAUGGUGACGUGAUGGCAACCUUAAAACCUCAUGCCAUUCUUCCUCAUCAUUCUCUGGGUUAAAGAAAGGCCUAAACUUUUCCAGCAAUUGACAGAGCCUUGGUGUGUCAUAUUGCCUCAUUGUGCCUCAGUUGUCCCAUCACUCCCACUUGGGAGAGGAUAUGAAUGAAUGGAUCUUAGUUUUAAAGAGCUGAAGGUGGAAUUCAGUUGCCUGAUUGCUAGCAUAGAUAGUACCUCUAUGUAUGUGCCAUUUCUUUUUUUUUUUUUUUUUGAUUGUUUAGUUCAUUUAUUUGUGUAACCAAUUUUGAUUAAAAGCUGAACACUGUGCUGGAAGCUGAGGCUUCACUGGUGUAGGGAUGCCAUUUCUGCCCCCUAAGAAUCACAAGGGCUAGAGCAUUGCAGGAGGUCCUUACAGCAACAAUUACCAUGAACUAAGCCUUUGCUUAGUGCAGGCACUGUGUUAAGAGGGAAGUUAGUAAUGUUCUUCCCAUUUUAGAAUUUUGUAACUAUAAAAAUAUAAUGCAGGCUUAAGAAAGAGCAGUUUAAAAUGACAUAAAUAAACCUUUGUUUUAGGGAAA
Molecule: long non-coding RNA, 1976 nt
Filed under: Homo sapiens (human)
Lineage: Eukaryota; Metazoa; Chordata; Mammalia; Primates; Hominidae
Description: non-protein coding lnc-EID1-4:3
Source: RNAcentral